Molecule: ribosomal RNA, 207 nt
Filed under: uncultured bacterium
Lineage: Bacteria
Description: partial 16S ribosomal RNA
Rfam family: Bacterial small subunit ribosomal RNA
Source: RNAcentral
UACAGAGGGUGCAAGCGUUGUUCGGAAUUAUUGGGCGUAAAGCGCGUGUAGGCGGCCAAUCAAGUCGGGUGUGAAAGCCCUCAGCUUAACUGAGGAAGUGCGCCCGAAACUGUUUGGCUUGAGUACCGGAGAGGAUGGCGGAAUUCCCCAAGUAGAGGUGAAAUUCGUAGAUAUGGGGAGGAACACCGGUGGCGAAGGCGGCCAUCU